Molecule: long non-coding RNA, 474 nt
Filed under: Ananas comosus (pineapple)
Lineage: Eukaryota; Viridiplantae; Streptophyta; Magnoliopsida; Poales; Bromeliaceae
Description: long non-coding RNA (ACOM_LNC043278)
Source: RNAcentral
CGCGAAUUCUGCCCAGUAAGGGUAGUGCAUAGGAUUAAAAGUUGAGGGGUUUUUAUGCAAAAUGGCAUUAGUAAUGUAACAUAUCAGAUUUUGGUAUAAAAAUAAAAAUAAAUAAAAAUAGUGUGAGAAACUAUAUUUAUUUGAUUUAUAGAAGUAAAACAUAAGUCAGAAGUGACUUGUGCUGAAAUCGGAAUGAAAACAGAAGAUCUAGAAUUUUCUGUUGGAAACGGGACAGAUAAAUUAGCAGAAAAUGCACAGUCUCAGAAAAUUAUGAAAAUUGGAGGAUAAGUCAAAAAUAUUUUUAUGAGGCUAGAUUUAAAGUUUCAUAUUUUUCUGACACCCGUAGAGUGAGAAAUAAAAUCCGACAGCUAUCUGAUAAAUAUUACAGUUCGGUACAGUUUUCAGUGACCAAACGGGGUCGAAACUGAAAACUUAAAAUAUAUUCUUGCUCAAUACGUAAAACCGAAUAUGACU